RNAcentral lists this long non-coding RNA (737 nucleotides) under Marmota monax (woodchuck). Lineage: Eukaryota; Metazoa; Chordata; Mammalia; Rodentia; Sciuridae. The record is from RNAcentral.
AUUCCCAGUGUUUUGAAAACUCUCAGGAAAAUGGUUUUUCUCACCCACAUGUACUUGGUAUCAGGACAUGUUAGGGCUAAGAAGCCUGAGGGGUAGAGGGGGAAGGACGGGCCCAGGAUGGAAACACUGUCACACUGGACUGGUGGGUCCUGGGCACUGAGUACAACCCCAUCACUGGUGGAGGGCUCCAUCAGGUGCCAGGAAUCUCAGAGACAGGACUGCAGCUUGGUCUUCCCCUGCCCCAGCACUUCCACUCAGACCGUAAACAUAGCCAGCUGCUCUACUGAGCUCCAAAAGGAAGCGCUCAUUCUGUUGGAGGUUGUGAACAGAAUGUACCCUUGACCUGGAACACUCUCCUCCCCUCUUCCCAACACAUACCUUUGUUCAUUCAGCAACCAUGCUACCCAGAAUUGACUGGGCAGGAAAAUAACAUUUGAGUAGGGAGGAAGCCUUUCAUCCUGCUUGCAUUCUGGCCCUCAUUGAAAUUUCAUCUGUGGCUAUUCACAAUCAGGUCCCCACAUUAGCUGCCAAGUUGCCUGGAAUCCUGCACAAACAAGGGUGGAUACAAAUUCUAUUAUGUCCACAAUACUAACAUUAGCUUCUGGGUGUUCAUCCUGGACAGUCUCUUUCUGCCUGCAUAUGGUGGCCAGGUUCCCAGGAGGAGAGGGCAGGAGUGUUCUGUGCCUCCUGAGGCUCCCAGGCCUGGUCACCACUCUCUCAGGCCAGAGCAUUAUGGA